UGCAGUCGAGCGGAUGAAGAGAGCUUGCUCUCUGAUUCAGCGGCGGACGGGUGAGUAAUGCCUAGGAAUCUGCCUGAUAGUGGGGGACAACGUUUCGAAAGGAACGCUAAUACCGCAUACGUCCUACGGGAGAAAGCAGGGGACCUUCGGGCCUUGCGCUAUCAGAUGAGCCUAGGUCGGAUUAGCUAGUUGGUGAGGUAACGGCUCACCAAGGCGACGAUCCGUAACUGGUCUGAGAGGAUGAUCAGUCACACUGGAACUGAGACACGGUCCAGACUCCUACGGGAGGCAGCAGUGGGGAAUAUUGGACAAUGGGCGAAAGCCUGAUCCAGCCAUGCCGCGUGUGUGAAGAAGGUCUUCGGAUUGUAAAGCACUUUAAGUUGGGAGGAAGGGCAUUAACCUAAUACGUUAGUGUUUUGACGUUACCGACAGAAUAAGCACCGGCUAACUUCGUGCCAGCAGCCGCGGUAAUACGAAGGGUGCAAGCGUUAAUCGGAAUUACUGGGCGUAAAGCGCGCGUAGGUGGUUUGUUAAGUUGAAUGUGAAAGCCCCGGGCUCAACCUGGGAACUGCAUCCAAAACUGGCAAGCUAGAGUAUGGCAGAGGGUGGUGGAAUUUCCUGUGUAGCGGUGAAAUGCGUAGAUAUAGGAAGGAACACCAGUGGCGAAGGCGACCACCUGGGCUAAUACUGACACUGAGGUGCGAAAGCGUGGGGAGCAAACAGGAUUAGAUACCCUGGUAGUCCACGCCGUAAACGAUGUCGACUAGCCGUUGGGAUCCUUGAGAUCUUAGUGGCGCAGCUAACGCAUUAAGUCGACCGCCU
RNAcentral lists this ribosomal RNA (822 nucleotides) under Stutzerimonas kunmingensis. Its description in RNAcentral is "bacterial SSU rRNA". It matches the Rfam family "Bacterial small subunit ribosomal RNA", at positions 56 to 874 of the family's 1533-position model. The record is from RNAcentral. Lineage: Bacteria; Pseudomonadati; Pseudomonadota; Gammaproteobacteria; Pseudomonadales; Pseudomonadaceae.